CAGUCGCCGCGGGAAAACGUAGGGUGCUAGCGUUAAUCGGAAUUACUGGGCGUAAAGCGUGCGUAGGCGGCUUCUUAAGUCGGAUGUGAAAUCCCUGAGCUUAACUUAGGAAUUGCAUUCGAUACUGGGAAGCUAGAGUAUGGGAGAGGAUGGUAGAAUUCCAGGUGUAGCGGUGAAAUGCGUAGAGAUCUGGAGGAAUACCGAUGGCGAAGGCAGCCAUCUGGCCUAAUACUGACGCUGAGGUACGAAAGCAUGGGGAGCAAACAGGAUUAGAUACCCGCGUAGUCCCUGUCUCUUAUAC
This 301-nucleotide ribosomal RNA is filed under the name uncultured bacterium. RNAcentral's name for it is "partial 16S ribosomal RNA". It matches the Rfam family "Bacterial small subunit ribosomal RNA", at positions 509 to 807 of the family's 1533-position model. The record is from RNAcentral.